GACGAACGCUGGCGGCGUGCUUAACACAUGCAAGUCGAACGGUGAACUCCGCUUGCGGGGGGAUCAGUGGCGAACGGGUGAGUAACACGUGGGCAACCUGCCCUCAGCUCUGGGAUAACUCCAAGAAAUUGGGGCUAAUACCGGAUAUGACCGCUGACCGCAUGGUCUGGUGGUGGAAAGAUUUAUCGGCUGGGGAUGGGCCCGCGGCCUAUCAGCUUGUUGGUGGGGUAGUGGCCUACCAAGGCGACGACGGGUAGCCGGCCUGAGAGGGUGACCGGCCACACUGGGACUGAGACACGGCCCAGACUCCUACGGGAGGCAGCAGUGGGGAAUAUUGCGCAAUGGGCGGAAGCCUGACGCAGCGACGCCGCGUGGGGGAUGACGGCCUUCGGGUUGUAAACCUCUUUCAGCAGGGACGAAGCGAAAGUGACGGUACCUGCAGAAGAAGCACCGGCCAACUACGUG
Molecule: ribosomal RNA, 465 nt
Filed under: uncultured bacterium
Lineage: Bacteria
Description: partial 16S ribosomal RNA
Rfam family: Bacterial small subunit ribosomal RNA
Source: RNAcentral